AUCUGCCGCUUUUUCCGCUGUUGUGAAAGGGCUGCAUUACAGUCUGUUAACUCAGUAAUGAUGGUGGCCGAAAUUCCAGAACACAUUCUCUUUCCAGGUGGGCCCAAAUUUUCAUCCUCAGCACCUCUUUUUCCAUUGCUAAUAGCAGAGACAUUGGUGGUUGUAGCAGCUGCUGUUGCUAAAAUAGGCAUCUGCCUUUCAGCUUGUGCAAGCAAUGACCUUGCUUCAUCCCUUUCCUUUUUAAGUCUUGUAAUCACUCGGCAAGCAGCAUCAUGCUGGU
Molecule: unclassified non-coding RNA, 280 nt
Filed under: Hevea brasiliensis (rubber tree)
Lineage: Eukaryota; Viridiplantae; Streptophyta; Magnoliopsida; Malpighiales; Euphorbiaceae
Source: RNAcentral